Passer domesticus (house sparrow) is the source of this 1573-nucleotide long non-coding RNA. RefSeq lists it as uncharacterized. The transcript has 7 exons. NCBI's taxonomy places the organism in Eukaryota, Metazoa, Chordata, Aves, Passeriformes, Passeridae. The record is from RefSeq and is a predicted model, not a curated record.
UAUGCUAUAAACAUGAAAAAUAAAUUGGCAGAUAUCUAGAUACAAAUUUUAAAUCAAUGAGAUCUGAAAUGCAAGAGCUUCUGUAUCCAAAUGGCUGUUUCAUGCCCUAAAUUCUCUGAGUUGUGCUUAAUUCUUGCAGUACAUAAGGCAUGUAAAAACCACCCACUCACUACUUCAGAGCCAUUUUUCUUCAUCUAAAUUAAAUUUCUUUAGUUCCAUUCAUCUUUACAGCUCAUUCAACAGGUCCCUCUGCAGCAGUGAAGGGAAGCAUGUUUCAAUGUGCUAAUCCAGCUCGGAGAUGGAUUAAUUGACUCACAUGCCCCUCUGAUCACUAGCCAGAUGUCUCUCCCCAGCUGGCAAGCCUUACUAAUUUUCUUGUUGUUGUUGCUGUUGUUAAUUCUGGGUUUCCAGCCAGCGGGGGCUCAAUCAAGGGCAACAUGCCCUCUGCCGACAUUUUGUAUUCUUUGGUCUGCUUUCCCCUGGGCAAAGACAUUCAGCUGUGAACCUCCUUCCCUGGCUCUUUGUCAUCUGGCCUGUGGCCCCUGGACAGGGCUCUGCUGGUGCAGUUGCACUUGUGUAUCCGGCACAUUGGGCCACACAGGGCUGUGCUGUGAAUAUUCAAGUUCAACAGGACAGAAAAGAACAGAAAACACUUCUCCUUUUUUUUUCAUUGGAAAAGAAGUUGCAAAAUAUUGUUUCAUGACAAGAUCAGAGAAGCACAGCUUGAGAAGAGAGAAGUUUGUCUAAGGUGUGAACAUCAAGAAUUCAACUGCAUUUCUAUGGACCCAGCACUUACUACUCCAACUAAAAAUGUGGAUGAGCUCAUUUCUUCAGCAUCUGAGCAGUUGCUCACAAUUCAUAGGGGUCAACUCUACAGUGGGUGUAAAUUGGAUGAAAUGAAGAUGAUGAAUCUGGCUGAUUGCUUUCUCUGUUUUGUCUCAUUACUUGGAUUUAGAGAUUGAGGAACAGAAUGUGAGAAAACUUCAAAACUUCUUUAGGAACACAGAUAUUUUCAGGCUGGACUGCAACCAAGUCCAAUCUAGCCCAGCAUCUUGUGUCAGAGAGAGGCCAGAAGCAGAUGCUGCAGGAGAAGAGUCUUACUACAAGCCUCGGGAGAGGGAUAUAAAUGAUGAAUGCAGGUUAAUAACACGGGAGUCUGCGGAAAAUUGCAUUAAAAUGGCACAGCAAUAACGGAUAUAAAAACAACUGGAGCAUGUGGUUGAAAAAAGCUGCCAAGAAGUGGCGUGGGAAGCCAUCACACUAACAUGGAAAGGGAAAUCAGCUUCAUUUUUUUCCCAGUAAUAAACAGAAUGAGGACUGAACACGUGGGGCACAAACUGGACAAAUGUGUAGUACAUCCCACCCAGCAGACUGUGGUCUGUGUCAGGACACAGGCACUGUGGAGAUGUAGCUGCCAGGAUCAUGGGAAAAGGAUUGCAGCUACCUGCUGAACUAAGAACACAGGAGAAGAGCAGUACAGAGGGUUCCAGUCACAUCUUGAACUCCUUCUGCUACUGCUAUCGUGGAAGUUUGGCUUGAGAAAAGACUACAGAUGCAAGACCUGCAUUUCAAG